UUUGCAAAAUAGUCACUUUUCAC
RNAcentral lists this non-coding RNA (23 nucleotides) under Arabidopsis thaliana (thale cress). The record is from RNAcentral. Lineage: Eukaryota; Viridiplantae; Streptophyta; Magnoliopsida; Brassicales; Brassicaceae.